Molecule: unclassified non-coding RNA, 146 nt
Filed under: uncultured fungus
Lineage: Eukaryota; Fungi
Description: sequence contains ITS1
Source: RNAcentral
UUUAAUUCUCAUGUAUGUUCAGACGCAAACGCUUAACCGCAUAAAUGCGACGCCGGAGCGCCGAAGCACGGGUUGCUUCCACAGGUUUGAAGGUUGAAGGCCGAAGCCAUUCAGUAAUGAUCCCUCCGCAGGUUCACCUACGGAGA